This 420-nucleotide ribosomal RNA is filed under the name uncultured Actinomycetes bacterium. Its description in RNAcentral is "bacterial SSU rRNA". It matches the Rfam family "Bacterial small subunit ribosomal RNA", at positions 8 to 426 of the family's 1533-position model. The record is from RNAcentral. Lineage: Bacteria; Bacillati; Actinomycetota; Actinomycetes.
AGAGUUUGAUCCUGGCUCAGGACGAACGCUGGCGGCGUGCUUAACACAUGCAAGUCGAACGAUGAAGGAGGAGCUUGCUCCUCCGGAUUAGUGGCGAACGGGUGAGUAACACGUGAGUAACCUGCCCUUGACUCUGGGAUAAGCGCUGGAAACGGCGUCUAAUACCGGAUACGACAACCGACGGCAUCGUCUGGUUGUGGAAAGAAUUUCGGUCAAGGAUGGACUCGCGGCCUAUCAGCUUGUUGGUGAGGUAAUGGCUCACCAAGGCGACGACGGGUAGCCGGCCUGAGAGGGUGACCGGCCACACUGGGACUGAGACACGGCCCAGACUCCUACGGGAGGCAGCAGUGGGGAAUAUUGCACAAUGGGCGCAAGCCUGAUGCAGCAACGCCGCGUGAGGGAUGACGGCCUUCGGGUUGU